AGAUUGAACGCUGGCGGCAUGCCUAACACAUGCAAGUCGAACGGGAGUAGCAAUACUCUAGUGGCGGACGGGUGAGGAAUACGUAGGAAUUUGCCCUUAAGUGGGGGAUAACCCGGGGAACCCGGAUUAAUACCGCAUGACCUCGAAAGAGCAAAGUGGGGGAUCGCAAGACCUCACGCUUUUGGAGAAGCCUACGUCGGAUUAGCUAGUUGGUGAGGUAAUGGCUCACCAAGGCGACGAUCCGUAACUGGUCUGAGAGGAUGAUCAGUCACACCGGAACUGAGACACGGUCCGGACUCCUACGGGAGCAGCAGGUGGGGAAUAUUGGACAAGUGGGCGACAAGCCUGACUCCAGCAAGUGACCGCGUGUGUGAAGGAAGGCCUUAGGUUGUAAAGGCUAACGUUUAAGUUACGGGAAAGUAAAAAACU
This 429-nucleotide ribosomal RNA is filed under the name uncultured soil bacterium. RNAcentral describes it as "bacterial SSU rRNA". It matches the Rfam family "Bacterial small subunit ribosomal RNA", at positions 26 to 464 of the family's 1533-position model. The record is from RNAcentral.